AUGAUACAGAAGAAGAACUCCCAGCCCAACAAGUUCAAAAACAAUAAGAACAAAACUCAGGGCAAAGGCAAGUUUGAUACAAAGAACAAGCCAUCACAUUCUACCAACUUCAAGAAGAAUUCUCAUAAGAAGGGGAAGGGACUUUUCCAUGUCCACGGUGAUCCUAAUCACUGGGCUCCAAAGUGUCCUAACCGCUUUGAGGAGCGCGAACAUGAGAAGAGGGGCAAGUCCGCUAAUGUUGUCAUCGGUGAUAUUGAUAUGAAGGAAUCAGGGUACGAUAUUUUACCUACCAUCCUUUCAGUAUUUCAAUCCCCUGAUUGGCUAAUUGACACCGGUGCCAAUGUACAUGUUUGUGCUGACGCCUCCAUGUUUUCUUCUUACCAGGCAACAGGGACUUCACCCGUGUUGAUGGGGAACGGGUCACAUGCCAUCGUUCGAGGUGUUGGUACGAUCGAUCUGAAGUUUACUUUGGGGAAGACUAUGUGUCUGAAGAACGUUCAUCAUGUGUCGUCCAUAAAUAAAAAUCUCGUUAGCGGUUCCCGUUUAUGUCGAGGUGGUUUUAAGUUGGUUUUCGAAUCCAAUAAAGUUGUAAUUUCUAAGUAUGGACAAUUUGUUGGAAAAGGCUAUGAGAGCGGAGGCUUGUUUCGCCUGUCUUUGUCAGAUAUUUGCACUAAAGUUAUUAAUAAUGUUUGCCACAACAAUGAGUCUGAUAUUUGG
Molecule: ribosomal RNA, 717 nt
Filed under: Triticum aestivum (bread wheat)
Lineage: Eukaryota; Viridiplantae; Streptophyta; Magnoliopsida; Poales; Poaceae
Description: partial small subunit ribosomal RNA
Source: RNAcentral